GUCAAGAUGACUUCGAUUUAGCAGAUGCACUUGAUGAUACUGAUGAAAUUACAAGGAGACCUAACCCAGUUACCAAGAAACCAGGAUCAGGUAUUUAUCCCAAACCCAACCCACCCUAUCGUCCUCAACCUGGAAGCUAUGACAAUCCCGGAGGUAACAUUAAUGAUUUAGAUUUGGAUGAUGGACGCUCCCCACCCAGACCUCGGCCACGACCUCCAGCAGGUGGAGGAGGAUAUUCAGAUUAUGGAAACACACACGGUGACUCAAUAGCUAGAAUUGUUUCUCCCAUUGUUUCUGUGGUUGUGGUAUCACUUAUUGGAGCAGCAACCAGCUAUUUUGCUUACAACCGGAGGAGAAACUGCUGCCGAACAAAUGAGACAGAGAAUGUCUGAAAGAGGCAGGAAUCUGCAAUGAAUUUCACAUGAACUGGAAAAAGAUGGGAAUGGACAUGUAUGUUAUAUGGAUUUUUUCUGUGUGUGCAAUGAGGACCCACCGACCUAUUAAAAGAAUUUUCUUCUCCUAAAACAUCCGAUUCACCUAAAUGAGAAUUCCAAAUUUCUUUAUAUAUAAUGAGGAUACAAGGAUAUUUACCUCAAAUAUAAUGAUGCUUACAAAAAAAAGAAGUCUGAUUUAAUAGCUAUAUUAUUUAAUGUGGAAAUGAGAACUUGGACUCUGUUCCUAGUUCUUAGAAAACCUUUUAUAAUAAUGUACAAAUGAUUUAACUCCAUUGCUUCUGUCAUGAUGCCUGACUAGCACAGUUUCGGGGGACAACUAUAGAUGUGCAUAGUACCCCAAUCCAUACACAUUUGGUGGCAGAAAAGAUGAAGAAGAUAGCCCAUUCUAAUGCUAUUUUUGUGGAGAAACUCACCAGCACAAAUGAUAACAGUUUUUAUUUCAACUGUACACCUUUAUUAUGAGUGAAAUUGAGUUACUUAUUUCCAACAUUGAUAGGAAAACCUGGAUAUUGCACUGUCAGCUGAUAUUUCUGUGACCAUUAGGGCAUCGUUAUUAGGAGAAAGCUAAAUGAGAUUAUUAAAUUGAGAUUAUAAAUGCA
Molecule: long non-coding RNA, 1054 nt
Organism: Phascolarctos cinereus (koala)
Lineage: Eukaryota; Metazoa; Chordata; Mammalia; Diprotodontia; Phascolarctidae
Source: Ensembl